AACGAACGCUGGCGGCAGGCCUAACACAUGCAAGUCGUACGCACCUUCCGGGGUGAGUGGCAGAUGGGGGUGUCACGCGUGGGAAUCUUCCCUUCUCUACGGGAUACCUCCGGGAAACGGGAAUUAAUACCGUAUACGUCCUGAGGGCGAAAGAUAUAUCGGGGGAGGAUGAGCGCGCGUUGGAUUAGCUAGUUGGUGGGGUAAAGGCCUACCACGGCGACGAUCCAUAGCUGGUCAAAGAGGAAGGUCAGCCACAUUGGGACUGAGACACGGCCCGAACUCCUACGCGAGGGAGGAGUGCGGAAUCUAGGACUAUGGGGGCAGGGAUGAACGAGCCAGGCCGGGUGAGUGAUGAAGGCGGUAGGGAAGUAAAGCUCUUUCAGAGGGGACGAUAAUGACGGUACCCACAGAAGAAGCCCCGGCUAACUUCGUG
This 433-nucleotide ribosomal RNA is filed under the name uncultured bacterium. Its description in RNAcentral is "partial 16S ribosomal RNA". It matches the Rfam family "Bacterial small subunit ribosomal RNA", at positions 29 to 507 of the family's 1533-position model. The record is from RNAcentral.